CCUACGGGAGGCAGCAGUGGGGAAUAUUGGACAAUGGGGGGAAGCCUGAUCCAGCGACGCCGCGUGAGUGAAGAAGGACUUCGGUAUGUAAAACUCUAUUAGCAGGGAAGAAAAAGACGGUACGUGACUAAGAAGCCCCGGAUAACUACGAGCCAGCAGCCGCGGUCACACGUCGGGCGCCAUCGUUAACCGGAGUGACUGGGGGUUAAGGGGGCGUAUGCGGUGCAGCAGGUCUGAUGUGAAAGGUCGGGGUUCAACCCUGGGAGUGCAGUGGAAACUGUUGCUCUGGAGUACAGGAGAGGUAAGCGGAAUGCGUGGUGUAGCGGUGAAAUGCGUAGAUAUUAGGAGGAACACCAGUGGCGAAGGCGGCUUACUGGACUGUAACUGACGUUGAGGCUCGAAAGCGUGGGGAGCAAACAGGAUUAGAUACCCGAGUAGUC
RNAcentral lists this ribosomal RNA (440 nucleotides) under uncultured bacterium. RNAcentral's name for it is "partial 16S ribosomal RNA". It matches the Rfam family "Bacterial small subunit ribosomal RNA", at positions 338 to 795 of the family's 1533-position model. The record is from RNAcentral.